This 71-nucleotide transfer RNA is filed under the name Mesocricetus auratus (golden hamster). It matches the Rfam family "tRNA". From Rfam's summary of the family: Transfer RNA (tRNA) molecules are approximately 80 nucleotides in length. Their secondary structure includes four short double-helical elements and three loops (D, anti-codon, and T loops). Lineage: Eukaryota; Metazoa; Chordata; Mammalia; Rodentia; Cricetidae. The record is from Rfam by way of RNAcentral.
GAGGAUGUAGCUCAGUGGUAGAGUGCCUGUCUGGCACGCUUGAAGCCCUGGGUUCAAUUCCCAGCACCACA